GAUGAACGCUGGCGGCGUGCCUAAUACAUGCGAGUCGAGCGAACAGACGAGGAGCUUGCUCCUCUGACGUUAGCGGCGGACGGGUGAGUAACACGUGGAUAACCUACCUAUAAGACUGGGAUAACUUCGGGAAACCGGAGCUAAUACCGGAUAAUAUAUUGAACCGCAUGGUUCAAUAGUGAAAGACGGUUUUGCUGUCACUUAUAGAUGGAUCCGCGCCGCAUUAGCUAGUUGGUAAGGUAACGGCUUACCAAGGCGACGAUGCGUAGCCGACCUGAGAGGGUGAUCGGCCACACUGGAACUGAGACACGGUCCAGACUCCUACGGGAGGCAGCAGUAGGGAAUCUUCAGCAAUGGGCGAAAGCCUGACGGAGCAACGCCGCGUGAGUGAUGAAGGUCUUCGGAUCGUAAAACUCUGUUAUUAGGGAAGAACAAAUGUGUAAGUAACUAUGCACAUCUUGACGGUACCUAAUCAGAAAGCCACGGCUAACUACGUG
This 497-nucleotide ribosomal RNA is filed under the name uncultured bacterium. RNAcentral describes it as "partial 16S ribosomal RNA". It matches the Rfam family "Bacterial small subunit ribosomal RNA", at positions 28 to 507 of the family's 1533-position model. The record is from RNAcentral.